RNAcentral lists this ribosomal RNA (838 nucleotides) under uncultured eukaryote. RNAcentral's name for it is "SSU rRNA". It matches the Rfam family "Eukaryotic small subunit ribosomal RNA", at positions 584 to 1457 of the family's 1831-position model. The record is from RNAcentral.
UCCAGCUCUAAUAGCGUAUAUUAAAGUUGUUGCAGUUAAAAAGCUCGUAGUUGGAUUUUGGUGUCGGACAGGCGGUCGGCUUUUGUCGUACUGCCCUUCUGACGCCUUCCUUCUGUGGACUGCGUCACUCUUUACUGAGGGGCGUGUGGACGCAGAUCGUUUACUGUGAGUAAAUUAGAGUGUUCAAAGCAGGCCUUACGCUUGAAUACAUUAGCAUGGAAUAAUAGAAUAGGACGUCGGGCCUAUUUUGUUGGUUUAGGGACCGUCGUAAUGGUUAAUAGGGACAGUUGGGGCCGUUCAUAUUCCGUAGUCAGAGGUGAAAUUCUUGGAUUUACGGAAGAUGAACUACUGCGAAAGCAUUCGGCAAGGAUGUUUUCGUUAAUCAAGAACGAAAGUUAGGGGAUCGAAGACGAUCAGAUACCGUCGUAGUCUUAACCAUAAACUAUGCCGACUCGGGAUCAGCAAGUGUCGUUCACGACCUCGCUGGCACCGUGUGAGAAAUCAAAGUCUUUGGGUUCCGGGGGGAGUAUGGUCGCAAGGCUGAAACUUAAAGGAAUUGACGGAAGGGCACCACCAGGAGUGGAGCCUGCGGCUUAAUUUGACUCAACACGGGGAAACUCACCAGGUCCAGACAUAGCGAGGAUUGACAGAUUGACAGCUCUUUCUUGAUUCUAUGGGUGGUGGUGCAUGGCCGUUCUUAGUUGGUGGAGUGAUUUGUCUGGUUAAUUCCGAUAACGAACGAGACCUCAGCCUACUAAAUAGUAACGCCUGCUUCGGCAGGUGGAUUACUUCUUAGAGGGACUUUUCGAGUCAUCGAAAGGAAGUUUGAGGCAAUAAC